CGGUUUGCGCGCUCGCUCGAUAGAGCGGUGGUGCCAGGCUGCCUCUGAGCGAUAACGGCUGAACGCCUCUAAGCCGGAACCGUAGCCGGAGAUGGAAGAG
Long non-coding RNA from Octopus sinensis (East Asian common octopus), 100 nucleotides. RefSeq lists it as uncharacterized. The transcript has 3 exons. The record is from RefSeq and is a predicted model, not a curated record. NCBI's taxonomy places the organism in Eukaryota, Metazoa, Mollusca, Cephalopoda, Octopoda, Octopodidae.